AUGUUUGUUCAUGUCACUGUUAUUUCAAUAGAACCAACUGUGAGAGCAGAGCUCAUGGAACAAGUGCCCCACAUUGCACUGUUUUGUCAAGAGAACCGGCCUUCGAUACCAUAUGCUUUCUCCAAAUACUUACUGCCGAUCGUGGUUAGAUACCUCGCAGAUCAGAAUAACCAGGUGAGGAAAACGAGUCAGGCAGCUUUGCUGGCUCUGCUGGAGCAGGAGCUGAUGGAGCGAUUGGAUGUGGAGACUAAGGUGUGCCCAGUUCUCAUAGAGCUGACUGCCCCAGACAGCAAUGACGAUGUGAAGACAGAGGCUGUGGCUGUAAGUCUGUCGGGAAACUUGGUCACACAUGCUGUCAUUCAGAUCUGUGGUUCCCAAUAGCAAGUAGCAAAGUACUAAGUCAUCCUGAUGGUUAUUCACAUUUCAUUGGACACUUGGCAUUUGCUAUUAUAAUACCUAAAACACUGAUCUUUUGUUGCUAUAAAAAAGUUGUAACAGCGGGUCGUUGGUGGUGCACGCCUUUAAUCCCAGCACUCGGGAGGCAGAAUCAGGUGGAUCUCUUUGAGUUCGAGGCCAG
RNAcentral lists this long non-coding RNA (577 nucleotides) under Cricetulus griseus (Chinese hamster). RNAcentral's name for it is "lncRNA (ENSCGRG00000025963.1)". Lineage: Eukaryota; Metazoa; Chordata; Mammalia; Rodentia; Cricetidae. The record is from RNAcentral.